GGGGCUACAAAGCAAUGAGGUAGGGUACUGGCAACAGUGCUCUGCUGAAUAUUUUCACCCAUGUCUUUUGCGCACUUUUUGUUUCCUGGGCGAGUUUGCUCGCCACCAGGACCCCCAUAUGAACCUUUUUUGUUUUUGCACUCAGCGUCAGUACAAUAAUUUAAUCUAUUAAAACUUUCAACAACGGAUCUCUUGGUUCUGGCAUCGAUGAAGAACGCAGCGAAAUGCGAUACGUAGUGUGAAUUGCAGAAUUCAGUGAAUCAUCGAAUCUUUGAACGCACAUUGCGCCCUUUGGUAUUCCAAAGGGCAUGCCUGUUCGAGCGUCAUUUGUACCCUCAAGCUUUGCUUGGUGUUGGGCGUCUUAUUGUCUCUCCGUCUCGGGGAGACUCGCCUUAAAACAAUUGGCAGCCGGCCUACUGGUUUCGGAGCGCAGCACAAAUUUGCGCUUGCAAUCAGCCAAGGGCGGCAUCCAUGAAGCCUUUUUUCUCUCACAUUUUGACCUCGGAUCAGGUAGGGAUACCCGCUGAACUUAAGCAUAUCAAAA
Molecule: ribosomal RNA, 544 nt
Filed under: [Setosphaeria] turcica f. sp. sorghi
Lineage: Eukaryota; Fungi; Ascomycota; Dothideomycetes; Pleosporales; Pleosporaceae
Description: eukaryotic LSU rRNA
Rfam family: 5.8S ribosomal RNA (bases 173-326)
Source: RNAcentral